ACAGAUGGGAGCUUGCUCCCUGAUGUUAGCGGCGGACGGGUGAGUAACACGUGGGUAACCUGCCUGUAAGACUGGGAUAACUCCGGGAAACCGGGGCUAAUACCGGAUGGUUGUCUGAACCGCAUGGUUCAGACAUAAAAGGUGGCUUCGGCUACCACUUACAGAUGGACCCGCGGCGCAUUAGCUAGUUGGUGAGGUAACGGCUCACCAAGGCGACGAUGCGUAGCCGACCUGAGAGGGUGAUCGGCCACACUGGGACUGAGACACGGCCCAGACUCCUACGGGAGGCAGCAGUAGGGAAUCUUCCGCAAUGGACGAAAGUCUGACGGAGCAACGCCGCGUGAGUGAUGAAGGUUUUCGGAUCGUAAAGCUCUGUUGUUAGGGAAGAACAAGUGCCGUUCAAAUAGGGCGGCACCUUGACGGUACCUAACCAGAAAGCCACGGCUAACUACGUGCCAGCAGCCGCGGUAAUACGUAGGUGGCAAGCGUUGUCCGGAAUUAUUGGGCGUAAAGGGCUCGCAGGCGGUUUCUUAAGUCUGAUGUGAAAGCCCCCGGCUCAACCGGGGAGGGUCAUUGGAAACUGGGGAACUUGAGUGCAGAAGAGGAGAGUGGAAUUCCACGUGUAGCGGUGAAAUGCGUAGAGAUGUGGAGGAACACCAGUGGCGAAGGCGACUCUCUGGUCUGUAACUGACGCUGAGGAGCGAAAGCGUGGGGAGCGAACAGGAUUAGAUACCCUGGUAGUCCACGCCGUAAACGAUGAGUGCUAAGUGUUAGGGGGUUUCCGCCCCUUAGUGCUGCAGCUAACGCAUUAAGCACUCCGCCUGGGGAGUACGGUCGCAAGACUGAAACUCAAAGGAAUUGACGGGGGCCG
This 871-nucleotide ribosomal RNA is filed under the name Bacillus siamensis. RNAcentral's name for it is "bacterial SSU rRNA". It matches the Rfam family "Bacterial small subunit ribosomal RNA", at positions 69 to 922 of the family's 1533-position model. The record is from RNAcentral. Lineage: Bacteria; Bacillati; Bacillota; Bacilli; Caryophanales; Bacillaceae.